Heterocephalus glaber (naked mole-rat) is the source of this 780-nucleotide long non-coding RNA. NCBI's taxonomy places the organism in Eukaryota, Metazoa, Chordata, Mammalia, Rodentia, Bathyergidae. The record is from Ensembl.
AUCUGCCUGUCGCUGACCCGGACGUGGUGAGCCGUCCAGGAUCUCUAGAUGGAGUGACACAGUCGCAGGCGACCCUCUAAAUGGAAGAGGGUGCUGGGGAGUUAGGGAACUGGGCCUUGUGCUGCUGGCCCUGGAGGUGGAGGAAGUGGACAGGAGCCCGGGAGUGCAGGUGACUGCGGGGCGUGGGACGCCCAGAGCAGGCCCCCAGGCUCCGAGGGACACUGUGCUUCGAGCUCCGUGAGACUGGUUUCAGACCUCUGACUGCCCCAAUUGUAAGUCAAGUUUCUGUUUUGUUUUGUUUUCCAGGACGGGAUUGAACCCUGGGCUGUGGCACUGGGCAACACCCCCAGCCCUCUUCAUUUUUCAUUUCAAGACAGGUCUCACGAAGUCACUGGGUUGCCCAGGCAGGGCAAGAACUUGUGCUCCUCCUGCCUCAGCCUCCCAGAGAGCUGAGCAACCCAUCACGGCCUCGAGCUGAACCCCGCUGCCGUGGGCCGCGCCUCAGUGUCCACAUCUCCCCAAGACCUGUGACACAGCCAGGCACCCGGUGCUGUCCCACGGAUGUGUGUAAUCACACACGACACUGUGUGAGGUAUGGGGACCCUUGGCUUACGAACUCAAUCUGUUCCGAGGGCUAGUUGUAACUCAGGUUGAUCGGGUGAGGCUCAGGCUCCUACACGGACCUCAAAGUCUCUCUCCUAUACACAGGCAGAUCUCAGUGUCCUUGGAGACACUGGCCCAGGAUUUCUCAAUGAACCCCACACAGGAGAAGAUGCUGUC